This is a small nucleolar RNA of Arvicanthis niloticus (Nile rat), 132 nucleotides long. RefSeq annotates it as small nucleolar RNA SNORA17. The record is from RefSeq and is a predicted model, not a curated record. NCBI's taxonomy places the organism in Eukaryota, Metazoa, Chordata, Mammalia, Rodentia, Muridae.
CCUACCCCUAGAGGUAUUGCAGGUAUGGCUGCCAUGUCACAUGUGCAUCAGUAGGCAGCAGAGUUGUGAGAGCCUACGUUUAGGCUCAGUGUUCUGACCUGUGGACUUCUGAACGAUUAGCAACCUAACACA